GUACCCUCCAACAAAGCUAACAACUUUUUGGUCACAAGCAAUAAGGAAUCCAAAGGAUCCAGGAGUGGGAAAGAAGGCAUUAGACAGUGACAAAUGUGUCUCCUGAAGGUAACUUAAUGCAGAUUCCAAAAGCAGCAUUCUCUGCUUCUCUGGAGAGUUGGUCCCUUUCUGCAGACUGACAGAGACACAAGCAGAUGUUGGUACUUACACUUUUACCUUGAUGGCAGGUUAUGAACAGAAGAAGGAGGACUCUGCAUUCAUGAACAAGAAAGAGACAGGCCCCAGGAAGGGAAGAACUCAUCACACAAGGACUCACAGGUGGCCAAUGGGUCUGGAAUGAAGGGAGCAGAAGGCAGUGAUGUGUGCAGAAGCUGAAUCAGUAGGAGGAAACAGGUACUGGCCGUAUAACUGCACCAAGGUAAUCACCAUCUCUUUGCUCAUAUGACCAUUGUGAUUAUGACACAAGAUAAAGUGAAGGCAGUACACAAAAUUAUUAAGAACAUGAACAGAAAUGAGAAGAAAUAGUUUCAGAUGGACAAAGCUAGAAGAAUGUUACUGUCACCAUUACAAUAUAAACAAUUUCAGGAAAAAUUUCAAUUACUUUUCUUACACUCGUUAGGGAAUUCAGGUCACAGGACAAAAAUCUGAGAAUCUAGAGAGUCACCACAGAGAGAAACAAGGCCCACCAAGACACCCAACAGGACUCAAUAAUGCCAGUAGGAAGAUUCAGAGAGAAAAUUUUAAUGAAUUUCUAAAAUCUGAA
This is a long non-coding RNA of Herpailurus yagouaroundi (jaguarundi), 763 nucleotides long. RefSeq lists it as uncharacterized. NCBI's taxonomy places the organism in Eukaryota, Metazoa, Chordata, Mammalia, Carnivora, Felidae. The record is from RefSeq and is a predicted model, not a curated record. The transcript has 5 exons.